This 621-nucleotide long non-coding RNA is filed under the name Mytilus galloprovincialis (Mediterranean mussel). The record is from RNAcentral. Lineage: Eukaryota; Metazoa; Mollusca; Bivalvia; Mytilida; Mytilidae.
AUUUAUUUUCAAAAACUUUCGAAAACGUGACAUGACCAUCGCUGAUUGACAGGACCAACAUCGACAAUGACUGGACCAGAUGAAAUUGCUAAUUUCUCUUUUAUUUCUCAAAAUAUUUUUCUGAAAUUUGAAAUAUAAUAAGCUUUCAUCAUUUAUCAAAUAAAUUUAAAAAAAAAUACACAAAAAAUAUGUAAGAAACUUUAGAAAACGUGACAUGACCAACUCUGAUAAUGACAGGACCAACUUCGACAAUAACAGGACCAAAUAAAAAUGCUUAUAACUUUUUUAUUUUUCAAAAGAAUUAUCUCAGAUUUGAAACAUAAAAUGAUAUGUCACAUUUUGAAACAUUUAUGUUAUAAAAAAUAAAGAUUUAUUUUCAAAAACUUUCAAAAUCGUGACAUGAUCCAUCGCUGACUGACAUGACGAACCUCGACAAUGACCUGAACAAAUGAAAUUGCUAAUUAUUCUUUUAUUUCGCAGAAUAUUUCUCUGAAAUUAAAAUAUGUGAAGAUUAUACCAUUUUAUACAUAAAUAUAAGAAAAAGGUAUAAAAAGCUUGCUGAAAUGUGACCUGGUUAACGUUGUCAAUAACAGGACAAUCCUCGACAAUUAAUGACAGGAC